AGCUCCAAUAGCGUAUAUUAAAGUUGUUGUGGUUAAAAAGCUCGUAGUUGGAUCUCAGUCUGCACUGGUCGGUGCGUCCUUGUGGCGCUACUGUCGAGUCAGACACUUGCCAUCGUCGUGUCGCAGUGCCCUUAGUCGGGUGUUGUUGGCCGGUUGGCUGUUUACUUUGAAAAAAUUAGAGUGCUCAAAGCAGGCAUCCGCCUGAAUAAUGUUGCAUGGAAUAAUGAAAUAGGACUUUGGUUCUAUUUUGUUGGUCUUCGGAGCCGAGGUAAUGAUUAAGAGGGACAGACGGGGGCAUUAGUAUUGCGACGCUAGAGGUGAAAUUCUUGGACCGUCGCAAGACUAACUAAAGCGAAAGCAUUUGCCAAGAAUGUUUUCA
This 379-nucleotide ribosomal RNA is filed under the name uncultured eukaryote. RNAcentral describes it as "SSU rRNA". It matches the Rfam family "Eukaryotic small subunit ribosomal RNA", at positions 587 to 972 of the family's 1831-position model. The record is from RNAcentral.